This 556-nucleotide ribosomal RNA is filed under the name Geastrum berkeleyi. RNAcentral's name for it is "eukaryotic LSU rRNA". Lineage: Eukaryota; Fungi; Basidiomycota; Agaricomycetes; Geastrales; Geastraceae. The record is from RNAcentral.
CAUUACUGAAGGCUUACAGGGUUUGAGACUGUGUCAUUAAUGGCAUGUGCUCGACUCUUACUUUAUCCAUAACACCUUUUGUGCACCAUGGGACGAUAUAAAGUCCCCUUUUUCUAUACAAACACCAAGUUAUAUGCAUGUUAUUAUAUGCUCUAAGGAGUACUAUACAACUUUCAACAACGGAUCUCUUGGCUUUCGCAUCGAUGAAGAACGCAGCGAAUGUGCGAGACGUAAUGUGAAUUGCAGAAUUCAGUGAAUCAUCGAAUCUUUGAACGCAUCUUGCGCUCCUUGGCAUUCCGAGGAGCAUGCCUGUUUGAGUGUCGUGAAAUACUCUCAAUUUCAAUCUUUUUGUUUGAAAUUGGAUUUGAAUGUUGUUGNGAAUGAUUCAUGACUCGUUCUAAAUGCAUUAGCGAUCUGCCUUUGAUCACACACAAUGUGAUAAGUAAAAGCAUUGUUAGAUUGAAUGGGAGAYGGCUUCUAACUGUCGUAAUGGACAAUAACAAUAUUUUGACCUCAAAUCAGGUAGGACUACCCGCUGAACUUAAGCAUAUCAAUA